GUGGGGAAUUUUGGACAAUGGGCGAAAGCCUGAUCCAGCCAUACCGCGUGCGGGAAGAAGGCCUUCGGGUUGUAAACCGCUUUUGUCAGGGAAGAAAUACUUCGGGCUAAUACCCUGGGGUGAUGACGGUACCUGAAGAAUAAGCACCGGCUAACUACGUGCCAGCAGCCGCGGUAAUACGUAGGGUGCAAGCGUUAAUCGGAAUUACUGGGCGUAAAGCGUGCGCAGGCGGUUCUAUAAGACAGAUGUGAAAUCCCCGGGCUCAACCUGGGAACUGCAUUUGUGACUGUAGAGCUAGAGUACGGUAGAGGGGGAUGGAAUUCCGCGUGUAGCAGUGAAAUGCGUAGAUAUGCGGAGGAACACCGAUGGCGAAGGCAAUCCCCUGGACCUGUACUGACGCUCAUGCACGAAAGCGUGGGGAGCAAACAGG
RNAcentral lists this ribosomal RNA (430 nucleotides) under uncultured bacterium. RNAcentral describes it as "bacterial SSU rRNA". It matches the Rfam family "Bacterial small subunit ribosomal RNA", at positions 354 to 776 of the family's 1533-position model. The record is from RNAcentral.